Molecule: ribosomal RNA, 468 nt
Filed under: uncultured bacterium
Lineage: Bacteria
Description: partial 16S ribosomal RNA
Rfam family: Bacterial small subunit ribosomal RNA
Source: RNAcentral
GACGAACGCUGGCGGCGUGCUUAACACAUGCAAGUCGAACGGAAAGGCCCUGCUUUUGUGGGGUGCUCGAGUGGCGAACGGGUGAGUAACACGUGAGUAACCUGCCCUUGACUUUGGGAUAACUUCAGGAAACUGGGGCUAAUACCGGAUAGGAGCUCCUGCUGCAUGGUGGGGGUUGGAAAGUUUCGGCGGUUGGGGAUGGACUCGCGGCUUAUCAGCUUGUUGGUGGGGUAGUGGCUUACCAAGGCUUUGACGGGUAGCCGGCCUGAGAGGGUGACCGGCCACAUUGGGACUGAGAGACGGACCAGAGUCGUACGGGAGGCAGCAGUGGGGAAUAUUGCACAAUGGGCGGAAGCCUGAUGCAGCAACGCCGCGUGCGGGAUGACGGCCUUCGGGUUGUAAACCGCUUUCGCCUGUGACGAAGCGUGAGUGACGGUAAUGGGUAAAGAAGCACCGGCUAACUACGUG